This 369-nucleotide ribosomal RNA is filed under the name Pseudomonas aeruginosa. RNAcentral describes it as "bacterial SSU rRNA". It matches the Rfam family "Bacterial small subunit ribosomal RNA", at positions 1160 to 1528 of the family's 1533-position model. Lineage: Bacteria; Pseudomonadati; Pseudomonadota; Gammaproteobacteria; Pseudomonadales; Pseudomonadaceae. The record is from RNAcentral.
UAACUGGAGGAAGGUGGGGAUGACGUCAAGUCAUCAUGGCCCUUACGGCCAGGGCUACACACGUGCUACAAUGGUCGGUACAAAGGGUUGCCAAGCCGCGAGGUGGAGCUAAUCCCAUAAAACCGAUCGUAGUCCGGAUCGCAGUCUGCAACUCGACUGCGUGAAGUCGGAAUCGCUAGUAAUCGUGAAUCAGAAUGUCACGGUGAAUACGUUCCCGGGCCUUGUACACACCGCCCGUCACACCAUGGGAGUGGGUUGCUCCAGAAGUAGCUAGUCUAACCGCAAGGGGGACGGUUACCACGGAGUGAUUCAUGACUGGGGUGAAGUCGUAACAAGGUAGCCGUAGGGGAACCUGCGGUUGGAUCACCU